RNAcentral lists this ribosomal RNA (112 nucleotides) under uncultured bacterium. RNAcentral describes it as "partial 16S ribosomal RNA". It matches the Rfam family "Bacterial small subunit ribosomal RNA", at positions 1373 to 1482 of the family's 1533-position model. The record is from RNAcentral.
CCCGGGCCUUGUACACACCGCCCGUCACACCACGAAAGUCGGCAACACCCGAAGUCAGUGGCCCAACCCGCAAGGGGGGGAGCUGCCGAAGGUGGGGUUGGUGAUUGAGGUG